Nicotiana tabacum (common tobacco) is the source of this 2454-nucleotide non-coding RNA. NCBI's taxonomy places the organism in Eukaryota, Viridiplantae, Streptophyta, Magnoliopsida, Solanales, Solanaceae. The record is from RefSeq and is a predicted model, not a curated record.
GUUUCUAUUUAUCUCUUUUCUUAGAGCAUUGCCUUUUAAAAUGAAGAAAAAAUAGUUUUCUACUGAGAAAUAAACAGUCCCGUAUUUUUGUAAAUUCCAUCGGUUACAGUCGUGUCAAAAGGCAGAAACCCCAACAGUCCCUUCUCCUUAAAUGCCUUGCGCAACAGUCGCUCACUCUCCCUCUCUUAAUUACCAUACUUGCUUUCUCUUCAAUCCUUUGUGUUUUAUUACUCAUUCUGUUUUCCUAAUCGCCACUGAGGAGUUGUUUCACUCGAUUCUCAAGGGCAUGUUACGGUGACGCCCAUGAAGUGUUCGACAAAAAACCCUAUAGAGGUAUAUUUUCCAUGGCUGCAGGACAAACCACUCAACAGAUGCAGGUCGGUAAUUCUUUUACACUCUUGUAUAGUGUGGAAAAAAAGAAACAAACGGCCUUGAAUAAUUGUGAUCGUUCAAUUAUACGGUGUCUCUAAAUGUUCAUUAUAGUUUAAAACUUAUUAAAAUGAAGGUGACAAUUAAAGUUGCAAAACCAGUAGUUUCUAUUCACACCCCAUUUUAACCUUAGCUUUCAAUCAACCCACUAUAAUUGCCCACCACAAUACGGCAAUAUCAAUCUAACGGGGACAAAAUUGAUUUGUGAUGCUCUUAAAAUUGAGAGAAUGAAGCUUGUGAAGAGAACACUCAAUGGCGCGAUGAUAUAAGCUACAUGCACUUACUCUUGCAAAAGAUGCAGUAUCAAUAUUUGGCAAAUUUGAAGCAACAACUUGCUUUUCCUACAAAUUUGGAGAUGCCUUCUUAUCUUUUAUCAUACAAGAUUUGACCAUACUUGUCUUUCUCUUCAUCCUCUGUUUUUUAGUAUUCUUCUUUUAUUCAGAUCGCCACAGAGAAGUUGUUUCUCUCAUUCUCAAGGUAAAUCUCUUCUUUGUGAUUUUGGAACAUAGUUAUUCUCUUUCAUGUUUAGUUUGUUUACCCUACCUGCAAGAUGAAGGUAUCUCUAUUGUUAUCUAUUCCCAAUUUUAAUAUUUAAGAUUUUGUUUUUUGUUAUUCAGCUUCUGGAAAAUUUCAAAAAAUCUAUAACUGUUGCUUUUGAUUCUUUUUGAGUAUUGGACUUUUUAGUUUCCAUUGUCUCCGACAUUCUUUUUCUACAUAAACUUUGUGGUGGUUGAUAACUUUUUCAUUUGAUUAGUGUUAAUAGAUAUAUAAAUCUGUUAUAUCAGUCGCCAUGCUAUGUUUGAUUGUUCCUACUGUUUUUUACCUUCUAUUUCGCGAAAAUUUGAUUUUUUGGGGGUUUUCCCACUUUGUUCUAUUGAAAAUAAAAAUUUAUCUUGACUUGGAGUCCUAAGAUGUCAGCGACAAGCGUAAGGCCUUGAAGACAAUCUCUGCUAUUUUAGAUAUUGAAAUAGUUAAAAUUUCCUUUGUUUUUCACCAAUCAAUAUUUCAUAAUUACAAAAUGUUAAUGCUUCAGCUCCAAUUUUCUUGCUUUUCUUUUUCCAUAUGAGUAUGUGAAUAACCUUGCAGUAUAGUCAAUCUAGAGCAUGAUUGACUCAAUAGUAUAUUUUACUCCUUCCAUAGUUUGCUAAUCAUUCAUUUAUAGAAUAUUCUGUGAAAUUGAAUUCACUAUUUGUUAGUAUUAUGUGAAAUUGAAGUCAUAGUUAUUUUUCUACCUCCAGGCAACAGACUUUUGCAUAAUUGCGUCGCCCAAAGAGAAGUAGAGAAUCAAACAUCUAUUCUUUUUCUCUGAGUUUUCAUUCUCAAGUUUAUUCUUCCUCUGGUCUAUAGCCGCUCAAUCUAGAGUAGUUGUCAUUCUUCUCAACUUGACAUUUUAGCUUUCAUCACUUUAAAUAACCACAUUUAGAGGCUAAAAUACUAGAACAAAUGAAGUUGGCAACAAUUGUGUGGGAACCCCUUUGCUAAAGGGGUUGAGUCUGAGAAUAGCUAGAAAUCACAUAAUCUCUAAGGAUCAACUAUAGUUAGUUGGCUUGUGGUUAGUUUUCUACAUGUUACGUUUAUUCAUUGAGGUAUAUCACAGUCUAAUAAUUUGUGUUUGUGAUGUACCAAAAUCUUUCAACAAUGACAUCUUUGGAAGAAUUCAGUUUGCUAAUUAUUGAAAGAAGCCAGCAUUCGUCUAUUCCUUAUGGAAAGAGGAUAGAAGCUCAUAUUUUUUAUACAUAAAAGAACUAGGUAAGCCUGGCAAUGAGGGAGCAAGAGUCGUGCUUACCCUUUGAGAUGGAAACAGAGAUGGAGGUUCAAUGCAAAUGGAGCUUUGCAAGGUCAUAAAUGUCUUCUACGUAGUUGAAUGUAUCUUAGCAGUAGGAUUUACACAAAACUAAGUUUGGUUCUUCUCUUCUUUAAAGUCUAUUUGUAACCUGAUAGGACUAUCUUAUAAGAAUUAGUGCAGUUCACGAUUAUCUAUCACACGAUUAUCACAUUUUUACUAAAUUAAUUUAACAGACUCAA